CCUACGGGAGGCGAGCAGUGGGGAAUCUUCCGCAAUGGGCGCAAGCCUGACGGAGCAACGCCGCGUGAGUGAAGAAGGGUUUCGACUCGUAAAGCUCUGUUGUCGGGGACGAAUGUGGAGAUGGUGAAUAACCAUUUUCAAUGACGGUACCUGACGAGGAAGCCACGGCUAACUACGUGC
This 180-nucleotide ribosomal RNA is filed under the name uncultured bacterium. Its description in RNAcentral is "partial 16S ribosomal RNA". It matches the Rfam family "Bacterial small subunit ribosomal RNA", at positions 338 to 508 of the family's 1533-position model. The record is from RNAcentral.